RNAcentral lists this long non-coding RNA (574 nucleotides) under Homo sapiens (human). RNAcentral describes it as "ST8SIA6 antisense RNA 1 (ST8SIA6-AS1)". Lineage: Eukaryota; Metazoa; Chordata; Mammalia; Primates; Hominidae. The record is from RNAcentral.
GAGAAGGGAGGAGUUAUUCAGGCCUCCGCCAGCUUCUAGGCCCUGGGGAUGGUCUUUCACCUCCCUCUUUCUGAUCUCUUUUUCAUGCUCCUCCUUGCUCCAAAGAAAAGCCGGAUGGCAAAAGAGCCCAGAACCUAUUGGAACUGACAAAAUCAAGUCACGGCGCCUACAAAGAUGAGGGGCAGAUUCUGGCUGCCUUUUAAUUUCGUCCUUCACCUGAUAUCUGUGCCAGAGAAUGAUAAAAAUCAUAAUAAAGGAAAUAAUGGAAGAGGAGACUUAUGUUACUGGGGACAUCUAACAUAAUUAUUUUCCUGAUUCAGUGGCAUGGUUCAGUCUUCCAGGAGUUCUGCUACAGAGAAGAGAGUAACCCCCAUCCAUCAUGGCCAAAGCACCCAGUCAGGCUCCGCUCUGGAUCCAGCCCGACAAAUGCAACCCUUGAAUAGGGUUUGUGCAAGCAAACUGGAUGACGACCGAAGAAACCCUGUCGCUUCUGAGAAGACACCCAAUCCAAGAAUGUGAGUUCUGGAAAUGUCAUUAAAUGUCAGUUAUAUACAUGCAAAAAAAAAAAAAAAAA